AGUGAACGCUGGCGGCAGGCCUAACACAUGCAAGUCGAACGGCAGCACAGGAGAGCUUGCUCUCUGGGUGGCGAGUGGCGGACGGGUGAGGAAUACAUCGGAAUCUACCUUUUCGUGGGGGAUAACGUAGGGAAACUUACGCUAAUACCGCAUACGACCUUAGGGUGAAAGCGGAGGACCUUCGGGCUUCGCGCGGAUAGAUGAGCCGAUGUCGGAUUAGCUAGUUGGCGGGGUAAAGGCCCACCAAGGCGACGGUCCGUAGCUGGUCUGAGAGGAUGAUCAGCCACACUGGAACUGAGACACGGUCCAGACUCCUACGGGAGGCAGCAGUGGGGAAUAUUGGACAAUGGGCGCAAGCCUGAUCCAGCCAUGCCGCGUGGGUGAAGAAGGCCUUCGGGUUGUAAAGCCCUUUUGUUGGGAAAGAAAAGCAGUCGGUUAAUACCCGAUUGUUCUGACGGUACCCAAAGAAUAAGCACCGGCUAACUUCGUGCCAGCAGCCGCAGUAA
This 506-nucleotide ribosomal RNA is filed under the name uncultured bacterium. RNAcentral's name for it is "partial 16S ribosomal RNA". It matches the Rfam family "Bacterial small subunit ribosomal RNA", at positions 29 to 523 of the family's 1533-position model. The record is from RNAcentral.